Nematolebias whitei (Rio pearlfish) is the source of this 456-nucleotide long non-coding RNA. RefSeq lists it as uncharacterized. The transcript has 3 exons. The record is from RefSeq and is a predicted model, not a curated record. NCBI's taxonomy places the organism in Eukaryota, Metazoa, Chordata, Actinopteri, Cyprinodontiformes, Rivulidae.
UUAUCUUCUCCACACACCUCCAAGGACGUCAACAACGCAAGGAGACGUGGAAAUACACUACAUCACUGCGUGUGGCGAGGUUAUAAGAGAGGGACGCGCGCCCUGUGUGCAGACAGGAGGUGUGUGAGGAAGAAGCACAGACUGCUGACCGAGUCCACGGUGAAUGUUUGUAAACACGGAGUCCUUUAAAACGCCAGCGAAGUGCGAUUUCGUCCUGGAUGAGUGACGCGAUCAGCUGCUUUGGUGAUCUCUGAGAGGCACACAUGGCCCACCGUGUGCACGACCACCAGGGCCGUCUGCCCGUGGCCCAGACCACCGUGCUGACCCUGCCAGCGUCCAGCCAAGCAAAGGAGCUGAGGCCCAGACUGACUGCCGCGGAGUCCCUGCUGUGUGGUGCGUUUGCCGGAGCUGUGGCCAAGACAGUCAUCGCUCCUCUGGACCGCACUAAGAUCAUUU